RNAcentral lists this transfer RNA (75 nucleotides) under Caudoviricetes sp. Its description in RNAcentral is "tRNA-Met". It matches the Rfam family "tRNA". Rfam says of the family: Transfer RNA (tRNA) molecules are approximately 80 nucleotides in length. Lineage: Duplodnaviria; Heunggongvirae; Uroviricota; Caudoviricetes. The record is from RNAcentral.
GCGGGGUAGUGCAGAGGUUGCACAUCAGCCUCAUAAGCUGACAUGACACUGGUUCGAAUCCAGUCCCCGCACCCA